AUAGAUGCAAUCAUCGGAUCUCACCUCUUUAUCACGUCAUAGCCUCUGAUGAAGAUGUAAUGGUUCCAUUAUCGUCUUCAAUCGAUUGUAUCAGACGAUGUAGUAAGAAGAUUCAUUAUCUGUAUUUUUCUCGUGACAUCGUGGUUCACUGAUCAAUCAAAGUUCCGCCUGUAUUGAGAAAUUCCUCAGCCACUACCGCCGGAGAUAUUUCAUCUUGUUUAGGUCUCUACCGAUGUGUCUGUCUCAUGUAUGAAAUUGCGAUCUUUUCCACUUUAUGAAAUCGUUCUCUCCCUGUGUAAUCACUUCGUCAAUUUCAGAUACACGAUAGAUAAGAAGUGUUGAUCUGCUCAAACCAGAAGUUUCGAUGUCUUUUAGGUAACAUAAGUUUUUUUUUUCUCCUUUUGUUCAAUUAAUUCAUUCCAAGAAACGAAUUUAUCUUCGAAUUUCCUUUUGUUAGAUUUCUGAUGUUGUGUAGUCUCAUCAUUCACGUUCACAAAUCUCUCACAUUCCUUCCUCCUAUCAUCGCCUCGCCUUCUAAUGUUGUCGCCUCAUCCCCUAUCGAUCGCCUGGUUCUCAUAGUGCUUGUGUCGAUGUCUUAUAAAUCUUCUAUUCGUUUUGGUUUUUAAUUGGGGAUAUGUAUUCUCGAUUGAGAUCCAAUAGGCUUAUUGUUCUAAUUAGUUGGUCGGAAAUUAUGGAUAUGGUGGUGAUCACAUGGAGAUGUCAAAACAAGGACAAAAUCAAUCUCUAGUUUAUAUGAGAAAAUGAAAGAAUUAAGAGGUUGCAUCAUUUGAAAUUCGAGGUUCACAUUUUUCAUAUCAACUCAACCUCAUGAUUUCAAGCAAUUGUGAAAAGUACCAAAAACCUUGGAUUAGUUUUUUUUAGGUGAUUGUUAUUUUCUUCUGGUAAUGUAUGGCAUUUAUACUAUAUUCAUCAUUGUUCCUUAAUUGAUGAUAUUUGUGCAUAUACAUGAUUUUCUAUUAUAGUCGAUGGUGAUGUGUGUGCAUUACCUUGAUGAAUAUUUGUAUUCAUCCUUCUCAUUGCCUCCUUGAUUCGUGCACACAGCCUGUUUGACAAAAUGCCACAAUUUUGCUUUAUUUUAGUUUUUGUGCCUAGAAGAGAUAUAUGAUGUAAUCCAUUGUUUUGGUAAUUUUACACAAUUUGUUGCAUAUUCAAUGUUAUUGUUAUCCACUAGGAUUUUUUAUUAAAACUUGAGUUGAAUUGAAAAACGUAUACAGGAAUAUAGUAGUUUUGACUCGAAUCACAUUAAAUUUCAAACUUGGUGAUCUUAGGUUUCAUGUUUUUGUAUACUCUAACAUAAUGAUGGACAUUAUUUAUUACAACAAAAUUAUAAUUAAAGAAGUUGAAAUUUGAUGAUAAGGGCUUAAACUCCAUUGGAGAUAGUUAUGGUUGUUUUCUUCCUUUAUGCAAAUCAAUCACUACUAUACUAUCUAAACCAUUAUAGCCAAUUGUUCUAGUAUAUUCAUCUUCUUUUCUCAAUUCUUCCAUGUAAUAUAUUUAUCAACACCUGUAGCAAACAAAAGUUUAUUUCAUCUUCUUCUUUUGCCAAAUCCUUAUUAAGUGCUUAAUGGCUUAAGCACUUAAGCCUAAACUUCAGAUCCAGAGGCCUAACAUGCCUAGAAUCCAUAAAGUUGUGAACUUUAUCCCUUUGGACGUCCAUAAAGUCCUAAAUGCUUGGUCUUAAUCCAUUAAGACCUUUCAUGGGACACAUUCAGCUAAUGAGACCUCAUUUUUAUCACUCAAGGUCCAUUCAAGAGUCCAAAAGGAUAGUUUUUUACGUCCAAAACACAACAUGCACCACCUUGUGGAUUUUGGGAAAAGAAAUGGGUCUUUUUAAAGAAAAUGAAGAGAUCUAAACAUAUAAGCAUAAAGUUUGGAACUUUAUACCUUCUGGAGUUUCUUGAGCACGAAAUAGCUUCAAAUUUACAAGCUUGGUCACUUCCUUCAACUCUUUGAUGCAAUGGUUUCCUCUUAAACACCCAAGAACACACCAAAUGAGCUAAAACACACAAAAGGGAGGCUAGGGUUUUAGAGAUACGAGUUUGAUCUAUGGAGGCUGAGGUAAAAGGGGUGUUGGUGCACAUAAUGUUGCUUAUAUAGGCGCCAAACCCUAAAUAUUAGGGUUUUCACUCCUGACGCUAGUACGCCCAGCAUACACAAGUGUACGCCAAGCAUACUAAGGCGGAUCCUUAUACGCUUAGCGUACUCAAACGUACGUGCAGCGUACACCCCCUUUUGGUCAAAUUUGAAAAAUUGGCCCUAAUACUUGUCUUGGCUCUACAUUCUAAGUCCCUAAGGGCUAUAACUGAAAAAGUAAAGAUAGAAGAGGGUUCGGAAAUACAUGAAAAUCCCAGGGUGUUACAAUUCUCCCCCACUUAACCUAGACUUCGCCCUCAAAGCCUGCUGCAGCUAAUAAAUCCGGGUAAUGCUCUUUCGGGCUCCCACGUCCACUCGGAUCCCUUCCGAUGCUCCCACUGUACCUUCACCAAAGGUAUUGCCUUGUUCCUUAGAACCUUUAUCUUCCUUUCCAAUAGGGUCAUAGCCCUCUCCACAUAAUUCAGGCACUCAUCAACCUGAAUGUCGUCCAAUGGUACCACUGCCUCCUGAUCCAUAAUACACUUUCGCAAUUAUGAAACGUGGAAAUUGCUAUGGAUCCGACUAAGCUCCUCUGGUAGCUCUAGCCUAUAUGCUACUUUGCCGACCCUGGCAAUGAUCCUGAACGGCCCAAUGUAACGAGGACCCAAUCUUCCCUUCUUACUGAAACGGAUCACACCCUUCCAGGGUGAGACCUUCAGGAGUACCAUAUCACCCACCUGGAACUCUAAUUUCGAUCGGCAUCUGUCAGCGUAACUCUUCUGCCGACUCUAAGCGGUCUGCAAUCGCUGCCUAAUCUGCUAAAUCUUCUCGGUAGUCUGCAAGACUACCUCCGUCCAUCCCAUCACCCCUGUGACCAACCUCGAC
Molecule: long non-coding RNA, 2979 nt
Filed under: Lactuca sativa (garden lettuce)
Lineage: Eukaryota; Viridiplantae; Streptophyta; Magnoliopsida; Asterales; Asteraceae
Description: long non-coding RNA (LSAT_LNC009338)
Source: RNAcentral